This 275-nucleotide ribosomal RNA is filed under the name uncultured bacterium. Its description in RNAcentral is "partial 16S ribosomal RNA". It matches the Rfam family "Bacterial small subunit ribosomal RNA", at positions 80 to 354 of the family's 1533-position model. The record is from RNAcentral.
UUUCUCCGCCGGCGACCGGCGCACGGGUGAGUAACACGUAUGCAACCUGCCCCUGUCAGGGGGACAACCCGCCGAAAGGCGGGCUAAACCCGCGUACAUGCCACCGGGGCAUCCCGGAGGCAAGGAAAGGCUUCGGCCGGACAGGGAUGGGCAUGCGGCGCAUUAGGCAGUAGGCGGGUAACGGCCCACCUAACCGACGAUGCGUAGGGGUUCUGAGAGGAAGGUCCCCUACACUGGUACUGAGACACGGACCAGACUCCUACGGGAGGCAGCAG